This 253-nucleotide ribosomal RNA is filed under the name uncultured Eubacteriales bacterium. RNAcentral's name for it is "uncultured Clostridiales bacterium partial 16S ribosomal RNA". It matches the Rfam family "Bacterial small subunit ribosomal RNA", at positions 524 to 776 of the family's 1533-position model. Lineage: Bacteria; Bacillati; Bacillota; Clostridia; Eubacteriales. The record is from RNAcentral.
UACGUAGGGGGCAAGCGUUAUCCGGAAUCACUGGGUGUAAAGGGAGCGUAGACGGCUGUGCAAGCCUGAAGUGAAAGGCAGGGGCAUAACCCCUGGACUGCACUGGGAACUGUCAGGCUGGAGUGCCGGAGGGGUAAGCGGAAUUCCUGGUGUAGCGGUGAAAUGCGUAGAUAUCAGGAGGAACACCGGCGGCGAAGGCGGCUUACUGGACGGCAACUGACGUUGAGGCCCGAAAGCGUGGGGAGCGAACAGG